UGAGGAAUAUUGGUCAAUGGACGCAAGUCUGAACCAGCCACGUCGCGUGAAGGAAGACGGCCCUAUGGGUUGUAAACUUCUUUUGUAAGGGAAUAAAGUGCAGUACGUGUACUGUUUUGCAUGUACCUUACGAAUAAGGAUCGGCUAACUCCGUGCCAGCAGCCGCGGUAAUACGGAGGAUCCGAGCGUUAUCCGGAUUUAUUGGGUUUAAAGGGUGCGCAGGCGGGAGAUUAAGUCGGCGGUGAAAUUUUGCAGCUUAACUGUAAAAGUGCCAUCGAUACUGGUUUCCUUGAGUGUAGAUGAAGUAGGCGGAAUUUGUGGUGUAGCGGUGAAAUGCAUAGAUAUCACGAGGAACUCCGAUUGCGCAGGCAGCUUACUAAACUACUACUGACGCUCAGGCACGAAGGCGUGGGGAUCAAACAGG
RNAcentral lists this ribosomal RNA (424 nucleotides) under uncultured prokaryote. Its description in RNAcentral is "bacterial SSU rRNA". It matches the Rfam family "Bacterial small subunit ribosomal RNA", at positions 355 to 776 of the family's 1533-position model. RNAcentral also lists the same sequence under 1 other name. The record is from RNAcentral.